Molecule: ribosomal RNA, 279 nt
Filed under: Clostridioides sp. ZZV14-6044
Lineage: Bacteria; Bacillati; Bacillota; Clostridia; Peptostreptococcales; Peptostreptococcaceae
Also listed under: 2 other names
Description: partial 16S ribosomal RNA
Rfam family: Bacterial small subunit ribosomal RNA
Source: RNAcentral
CCUACGGGAGGCAGCAGUGGGGAAUUUUGGACAAUGGGGGCAACCCUGAUCCAGCCAUGCCGCGUGCAGGAUGAAGGCCUUCGGGUUGUAAACUGCUUUUGUCAGGGACGAAAAGGACCGUGUUAAUACCAUGGUCUGCUGACGGUACCUGAAGAAUAAGCACCGGCUAACUACGUGCCAGCAGCCGCGGUAAUACGUAGGGUGCAAGCGUUAAUCGGAAUUACUGGGCGUAAAGCGUGCGCAGGCGGUUCUGUAAGACAGAUGUGAAAUCCCCGGGCU